Molecule: transfer RNA, 76 nt
Filed under: Leucothrix mucor
Lineage: Bacteria; Pseudomonadati; Pseudomonadota; Gammaproteobacteria; Thiotrichales; Thiotrichaceae
Also listed under: 1 other name
Description: tRNA-Thr
Rfam family: tRNA
About the family: Transfer RNA (tRNA) molecules are approximately 80 nucleotides in length. Their secondary structure includes four short double-helical elements and three loops (D, anti-codon, and T loops).
Source: RNAcentral
GCUCAUAUAGCUCAGUUGGUAGAGUGCGUCCUUGGUAAGGACGAGGUCACCGGUUCAAAUCCGGUUAUGAGCUCCA